This 87-nucleotide transfer RNA is filed under the name Tulasnella sp. 417. RNAcentral's name for it is "tRNA-Asp". It matches the Rfam family "tRNA". From Rfam's summary of the family: Transfer RNA (tRNA) molecules are approximately 80 nucleotides in length. Their secondary structure includes four short double-helical elements and three loops (D, anti-codon, and T loops). Further hydrogen bonds mediate the characteristic L-shaped molecular structure. tRNAs have two regions of fundamental functional importance: the anti-codon, which is responsible for specific mRNA codon recognition, and the 3' end, to which the tRNAs corresponding amino acid is attached (by aminoacyl-tRNA synthetases). tRNAs cope with the degeneracy of the genetic code in two manners: having more than one tRNA (with a specific anti-codon) for a particular amino acid; and 'wobble' base-pairing, i.e. permitting non-standard base-pairing at the 3rd anti-codon position. The record is from RNAcentral. Lineage: Eukaryota; Fungi; Basidiomycota; Agaricomycetes; Cantharellales; Tulasnellaceae.
GGGCCCGUAGCUUAAUUGGCAAAGCCGCCGACCGUCUUUUUAAGACAUUUCAGCAACUUCAUGCAGGUUCAAACCCUGCCGGGUCCA